GGUAAAAACCCCUUUUUAUUAUUCUGAAAUAAUAAAUUGAACAAUAUAAUAUAACCAAUUUUAAUUAAACCAUCGAAAUAAAUAUUAUUUUUGGAUAACAAUGAUCCAAACAAAGCUGUAAAGGUUGCAUCUCAGCUUUUUUUGGGGUAAAAAUGAUACAGUCGGUUUGUAUCCGAGCUUCAGCUCUGCAAUUGCCACCCAUUUACUCCCACUCCCUCAGGCAAUCUCUAUUUCUCCACAUUUUCCUGUUUCUCAAUAUGCCCAUGCUCUAUCAUAUGUACCAUAAUUUGCUUACUUUGUGUUUGUAGAAAUGUCGCAACAGCUGACAGCUUUGCAAUUGACGCUCAAAACCUUAGCUAUUCAGUUGUCUCCAGACAGGGGAAA
RNAcentral lists this long non-coding RNA (384 nucleotides) under Nicotiana tabacum (common tobacco). Its description in RNAcentral is "long non-coding RNA (NTAB_LNC015007)". The record is from RNAcentral. Lineage: Eukaryota; Viridiplantae; Streptophyta; Magnoliopsida; Solanales; Solanaceae.